AGAUAUAUGAUCUCUGGUUGUUUUGUGAUCCCAGGAUCUACUGAGAUGUAUAGCAUAAGAAGUUAUACACAUCCUGGAUUUUGUAAGUUUCCCAGCUUCUCCAUUGUUCUUGAGUAUCAUUUUUCAGGGCAAUCAUAAAAAUGGGCAGGGCAUGAAGCAUUGCACUUCUAAAACUUGCAAAUCUGAAACCUGGAUUUCCAAACAUAUCAGAGGUAUGUGUAAAAUAAGAAUACCUAUUUUCUGAGUGAAGGCUUGAGGGAGUCCUCUAUGAAUAAAUGACACUAUUUUGACUACCUAGAGGUCAUUUUUGUGUUCCUUUGUUUUAUUUGUUAGACAGGUGGAGCUGCUUGGUAUUUAAAUUCUACCCAGGAGGAAUGUUACUGUAUUUCUUUGGAUUACCUAUCAUUUUCUCCACUGAGAUGAUGAAAGGUUUCAGAUGUCAGAGGAUAAUGGAAAACAGUGAGGUGAAGAGUUCAGCUUUCUGCACAUGCAUCUGACUUUUACCGUCUUGUAAGACAGAGAAUCUAGAUUCUUAUGGCUUAUUAGAAUUUUCUAGGAAGCUUUUAAUAUAUAUCUUUAUACUUGGCUUUACCCCAGUCUUUCUAGGGGUAGGGACUAAAUGAAAAUGAAAUUUUUAUAAACCCUAUUUCCUCUUAAAGUCACUGGCAUUCAUAGGAAAGAUAGUUGCUUAGGAUAAUUAAAUCUUAAAUACUUUAGAAGUAUCCCAUAUUUGGAAAAUAGCCCAGGAAUCACUGGGGGAAAAGAGAGAAAAAAUAAUUGGUUAUGCAGCCGUUUAGACAUCCAAACUUCCUGAAUAACAACUCCAAAUUCUAUUUCGUUUUCUUUUGAAAAGAGGGGCUGGCUACUGUUGGGCCAGUCUGACUUCUAUGACCACCUUCCUUCUGAAGAGCUUUGCUCAUGAUUGACUAGGGACUCAAGCUGAUUGACAGGUUUUCCCAUUGCUGAACAUAUAUUAGAGGCCUGUGUUAAUUAAGAAAUUCUCCCAACUACUUCAAUUUUUUUAGGGUAUACCCUUAGAUUCUGGUAAUUUAUUCAAAACCAAACAAAUGGGUGCCCAGAAUUGUCCAUUUUCAGGUUGUAUAAGGUGUGUGCUCUGUGCUCUCGUUUAAAAACAAGCAAGUAAAGAAACAAGAAAACUUGAACAACAAAGCUAAAAUACAGUUCUCCCAUUGAGUGCAUUCUAACUUUUUAUUUUAUUUUAUUUUAUUUUAUCUUUGGUUAUUUUUCUUAGGUAAAGAACAGCUUCAUUACUGGGUACAAAAAAAAGCAAGAUAAAGAUCAAAACAAACCAUGUGCCACGAGUCCUAAAUAUAUAUCACCAUUCAUUAUGAAAUGUUUAUUCUUAACAAUGAAGUGCUUAAAAAACAAAAUCAAGCUGAAACUUCUAUUUUCCAGUGAAGAACCAAGAUGGAGAUCAUCAACUGGGCAACAUUUGUGGUGUAAUUUCAUGUAGAUCACUGUCAUAAGCUUAUUUUAUACACAAGCACCCAUGUAAAUGUGCACACACUCAAUAGCAAUAUAUGUAGCUCUUUCGUGGAUCAAUUGCCAUAAAAUAUAUAUUAAAAAAUUAUGGCUUGCAGCAAGUGCUAUUGGUUAAUCAUUGAAUAUCCUUAAGUUUUUAAGUGACUCAGAAAUAUUAGUCAUAUGGGAGGAUAAUUUAGCUAAAAUGAAUACAAGGAUUCUUGUACAUUCAUUCUCAUUUCUUUUUUUCUUCUUAGCAGUUGUUUUUCAGGGUACCAACAGGAAUAGCUACAGAAAACAGAACACUUAAAACAGUAAAAUCAAGGCCUUCUAAGUGUAUUAAAAGAGUAGAGAACUAUCCAGAGGUAAUAGGUGAAGCCAGUGCCUCUCUCUAGCAGAGCACCGCAGGAUAAACCAGGAACCAUGGCUCUCAUGGUUUUGCAGUUAGAGCCAGCGUCCUGCCAGCAAUUGAAAGGAGAGAUCUUACCCUGUGCUGUAGGUAGCUUCUGAAAUGGCUGCCAAGGAUCCCUGCUUCCUUGUAUUCACGCCUUGUGUAAUCAUCCCUCUAAGGGUGGGCUGGACCUAGAGACUUGCUUCUAACAAUUGUAAUUCAUCAAAAAUGAUAUGUCACUUCCAAGACUAGAUCCCAACAAGGUUUCAGGUUGAGAACCCUUUCUCGCCCUCUCGUGUGCUGGAUCUGAGGAAAGCAAGCUGCCAUGCUGAGAGCUGCCCUAUGAAGAGGCAAGGUAUUUUGAGGUUCUGGUACUAUGGUAGGCACUAAAAAUUUAGCAGUCAGCAAAUGAUACAACCUCACUCCUUAUGGUGCUUUCAUUAUUACUUAGCAAAAGAGAGCAUCGAUUCUUUGUCAAGCAGACCUGGGCAUUUAUUCCAAUUUCUACGCAUAUUAUCAUGACUUGGAGGAAGUCUUUUAACCUUUCUAAUCUUUAAUUUCUUCUUUUUUAAAAUGUAGGGGUGAUAAAAGUACUUCUUCCAUGAAAUUGCUGGGGGUUAAGUGAGAUAACAGUAAGUUUCUUUGUAAAGAGAUUAUUGUAAGCAUUUAUAACGAGAAGUACUAUGUUGCUGUUCCUCUUAUCUGUAUCCUGGUCAUCAUUGUUAGAAAAGGGCAAACACUUUUUUUCCCAUUUCUUAACUUCCAGAAAGAGAAGUUGUCCCAGAGUACAUUAUAUGUCUCUCUUGUCUUUUUACUCUUUUCACCUUUAGGGAAUUGAAAUAAUUUAUUUUUAAGUCAGUAACUGUGACAGAAGAACACAAAAUCACUGGAUGAGAGAAAUAGAUAAUUUUUAAAGCAAAAAGAUCAGGCAGAGCAGCAUCUUGCAUCAGUUCCUAGCACCCCAGUUCCCACAGGGCAAUAUGAUGAAGGCCAAGUGUUACCUGUGUGUGUAGAGGGUUACAUCACAGGACAGGAACCGUGACAAUAGGAGACUGACUUUCUGUGGGGCUGGUGGCACUUUUAGUUGUCUGGAUUGCAGCAGGGCCCAUUACUAAAGCAAAUAAUAGGGUGGCCCAACGUUUUACGACAAGAUAGAGAAGGAUCCUCUAAGCAUGUGAGAGGCUGAACGUUGAAAAAUAAGUAGGAGCUGACCAAGGUGGUAGGGGUAGAGUGAGGAGAAGGUUCUAAGUAUAAAGAAGAGCAAAGGAGUGAUCACUGCACUGAGAAAGGACUUGGAAAUGACGUGUCUCUGAAAAAAGGCCACUAUGGCAGAACUUCCUAAAGGAAGGGAAAAAGGCAUCAAUAUGAAGCCAGAGAAGGAAGCCAGAACUGGAUCCUAUAAGGACUUAGAGUGCAGGUUGAGGAUUGUACCCUUUAUCUUAAGAAUUACUAUAGUAUAGUAAUAAGGACACUGGGAUAAUUGCAUAAUCGAUUGCAAGAGAACAGAAAUUGAUGAGGAAACCAGUUAGCAGGCUAUAGCAGUUGUCCAAAUGAGGGACAUAAAUGGAAGAAACUUCCUGGGUUGGGCAGGAACUUUCCAAUAUAGAGACUUUCCCUCCACAGAAAGAAGAAAAACAGGUCCUCACUGCCCUAUAGGACAAACCAGAACACGACGGCCAGGAUUCAGCUCCUAACCAAUCAAAUAGAGGAUUCAAAAAUACCCAAUCAAGAGGAGGAUUGAAAAACAGACUCUUCUGAAUGGACAAAGGGAGAAUAUGGGAGGGAACAACAUGGGAAUAUAAGUCAGACUAGCAACGGCACCCUCUUCCGGGUCCCCUUCCACCACGUGGAAGCUUUACUUUUGGUUUGCUCAAUAAACUGCGCUGCUG
This 3762-nucleotide long non-coding RNA is filed under the name Homo sapiens (human). Its description in RNAcentral is "non-protein coding lnc-SPOPL-5:2". Lineage: Eukaryota; Metazoa; Chordata; Mammalia; Primates; Hominidae. The record is from RNAcentral.